This 253-nucleotide ribosomal RNA is filed under the name uncultured bacterium. RNAcentral's name for it is "partial 16S ribosomal RNA". It matches the Rfam family "Bacterial small subunit ribosomal RNA", at positions 524 to 776 of the family's 1533-position model. The record is from RNAcentral.
UACGAAGGGGGCUAGCGUUGCUCGGAAUUACUGGGCGUAAAGGGCGCGUAGGCGGUUUGGUCAGUCAGGCGUGAAAUUCCCGGGCUCAACCUGGGGACUGCGCUUGAUACGGCCAGACUUGAGGGUAGGAGAGGGUCGCGGAAUUCCCAGUGUAGAGGUGAAAUUCGUAGAUAUUGGGAAGAACACCGGUGGCGAAGGCGGCGACCUGGCCUAUUUCUGACGCUGAGGCGCGACAGCGUGGGGAGCAAACAGG